Molecule: non-coding RNA, 1367 nt
Organism: Manis javanica (Malayan pangolin)
Lineage: Eukaryota; Metazoa; Chordata; Mammalia; Pholidota; Manidae
Source: RefSeq, a predicted model, not a curated record
AGUCAUAUAUUCCCAUAUAACAACCUUCUACCAUGUGCUUGCAAGAUGCCCCAUGCUGUCCUAGAGACUUUUGCAUGUCAUUUAGUGGGAGACAAUGCUGCGGACUUCAUUCCAGAGAGAGCAAGACUGGACUCAGAUGCAAUUCUGUACCCGAAGGCAGAUAGCUCUAUAAACUCAGAAGAUUGUCCCAUAGGGUGCUUGGGCUUCUGCCUUUGACCUAGGACUCAAGAACCCCUGUUGAACUAUGAGGUCAAGUCCUGCUGACCCACCCAGCCCUCACUGUGCCCAGCUUCCUCCUUCUCUGUCUGUGGUAGUCAGACCUCUAUCUGGUGGUUAUGGAAAAAGGCACGGUUCCUCUUAUCUUUUCCCAUCUUGCAUCAGCCUGCACCAUCCUGGGCUCAUUUCAGCUGCCCUGAAUUCCUAUUUUAGUUUCAUGGCUCAUCACAGACUCGGGAAUAUGAUGCAUUAGCUUCAUAUUUAAAAAGAGAAAGUAGAAAUGUGAUUUACCUAAGACUAUCCAUGAGCUACUCAUUCUCUUUCCAAAAUAUUCUUUCUUUACCCAAACAGAUCAUUCAAGAAUCCCUUCUGGUGUUAUUACAUUCCUCUGGAAGCCUCCCCCAGCUCCCCACCAAAUCCAUCCAUCCAUCAUCCACUUAGUCAACACACACUUACUGAGAACCCACAGUGAGUCAGGCACUUCUCCGGGUCAGUUCCUGGAGAUUCACAGUGAACCAAACAGACAGAACUCCUUGCCCCAGUGGAGCUUAUAUUCUGUGGGGGAAAGAUGGACCAUAAACAUAGAAACAAGCAAAAUGUGUUAUGUUAGAUGGUCAUAUGUUCCAUGAAGAAAAAUAAAGCAGAGGUGGUUUAGAGAAUGAGGGCCCUGUGGGAGGAAUGGGGGGGCAGGGCUGCUAUUUUAAGUUGGGUAGUCAGGGGAGGCCUCCUGAGAAGGUGAGGAAGAGGGCAGACCUGCAGGACGUGAGGACGAACCAGCUCACUGGCCGGCAUUAUGUGGUAAGAUGGUCUGUGCACAGCUCUGAUGAUAUGUGUUGUUCAAGGACACGAGGACACUGAUUUUCAGCAGGUUAUCACUCACUUAAGGACAGAGGAACCACAGGAUUCUAGGGGGCCACAGCCCAGAUUGGGGAAGCCAGACUCAUUGGCCAGACAGCUGCUCAGCUGGUUCGUCCCAUCAGUCUGAAUUGGUGAACCUGAAUCUCACACGAGGCCUCCAGAUCCGGGCAAAGGCCUCAUCUCUAAGGGGAAAUGAGGAUGGCUGCUCAUCCUCAUUACACAUGGUAAUGAGGGAGCGUUCGCCGUUCACUCAGAAACCUCCAUGGGAUGCUCGGUACUGACACCCUGGAGAA